Molecule: ribosomal RNA, 253 nt
Filed under: uncultured bacterium
Lineage: Bacteria
Description: partial 16S ribosomal RNA
Rfam family: Bacterial small subunit ribosomal RNA
Source: RNAcentral
UACGUAGGGUGCAAGCGUUAAUCGGAAUUACUGGGCGUAAAGCGUGCGCAGGCGGUUUGGCAAGUCAGAUGUGAAAUCCCCGAGCUCAACUUGGGAACUGCGUUUGAAACUGCCAGACUAGAAUAUGUCAGAGGGGGGUAGAAUUCCACGUGUAGCAGUGAAAUGCGUAGAGAUGUGGAGGAAUACCGGUGGCGAAGGCGGCAUCCUGGACCGACAUUGACGCUGAACGGCGAAAGCUAGGGGAGCAAACGGG